GAUGAACGCUGACAGAAUGCUUAACACAUGCAAGUCAACUUGAACUUCGGUUUGGGUGGCGGACGGGUGAGUAACGCGUAAAGAACUUGCCUCACAGAUAGGGACAACAUUUGGAAACGAAUGCUAAUACCUGAUAUUAUGAUUUUAGGGCAUCCUAGGAUUAUGAAAGCUAUAUGCGCUGUGAGAGAGCUUUGCGUCCCAUUAGCUAGUUGGAGAGGUAACGGCUCACCAAGGCGAUGAUGGGUAGCCGGCCUGAGAGGGUGAGCGGCCACAAGGGGACUGAGACACGGCCCUUACGCCUACGGGAGGCAGCAGUGGGGAAUAUUGGACAAUGGAACAAGAGUCUGAUCCAGCAAUUCUGUGUGCACGAUGAAGUUUUUCGGAAUGUAAAGUGCUUUAAGUUGGGAAGAAAAAAAUGACGGUACCAACAGAAGAAGUGACGGCGAAAUACGU
This 453-nucleotide ribosomal RNA is filed under the name uncultured bacterium. RNAcentral describes it as "partial 16S ribosomal RNA". It matches the Rfam family "Bacterial small subunit ribosomal RNA", at positions 28 to 506 of the family's 1533-position model. The record is from RNAcentral.